Impatiens glandulifera is the source of this 726-nucleotide long non-coding RNA. RefSeq lists it as uncharacterized. The transcript has 4 exons. Lineage: Eukaryota; Viridiplantae; Streptophyta; Magnoliopsida; Ericales; Balsaminaceae. The record is from RefSeq and is a predicted model, not a curated record.
CACCGUCUUCAUUGGAAUCGCUUGGCAAACAAAUGCCCGACCGACUAUCUUGUGCCUGGCAACCAAAUGCCGACUUCUUCACCGACGAUCCAAGUUGCGCAACCACCGUGAAAAUCGCCGAGGAUCUAGUCGUCUUCUCCAUCGUCAUUGCGUUGGGUUGAAGAAGCAGGUCAUUCGUUGGGGUUUGGUGGACUUUUUUCGCUUUUCUUCCGCAGGCGCGCUGUCUUUAGGGAUGAUGGCUUAGAAAAUUGCUUAUCAAAUUCCUGUUUCACUCUGGAUUUAGAUCGGGUAUACGCUAUGGAACGCGGAAUACAGAAUCUCAUUGAUGAGGAAUUUUGAUAUACAGUCAGACAGUUGGAGUAGAUCAGAUUUUGCAGAGGAGAAUCAUGUUCUGGAAGUGAAGAGUAGUGAUGAGACAGACGGUGAUCGGUGUGCAGAUUAUUUGGAGAAGAUGGAUAUCAAAAGCGCUGGGGCUUUGUCUCCUGAAGCUCUGAACUAUAUUCAGAACCUAGAAUCCGAACUAUCUUUGUCUAAGAAGGAACUGGAUGAGAAGAAGCAAGAAAUGCACAAAUAGAAAGUUGUAUGAGAGAAAAUAACAAUGACCUAUUGGAGUAUUUGAGGUCCUUGGAAUCUGAUAUGGUAACUGAACUAUCACAGCCAUCUUCAUCAGAAGUUGAGGAUAUUAUUCGAAACUUGUUCAAAAUAUUUUACGCCAAUUCUAUAAAG